AUGGUGAUGUCGUCCCAGAAACAGCCUAGAAAAAACUUGGGAGAAACAAAGCUGCAACAGGCAUCCGCGCUGUGUUGCCACGGGAAGAGGGGAUCGAUGAACAUGCAUGUUGUUAGGCAGCGGAACAAGAUGGAUCGAGGAGAGAUGAAAGAAAAGCUUGAGAAAGAAGGCGUAAAGAUGGAGAGAUCGAAGGCAGAAAUCAGGAGGGGAUUCGAGAUAAUUUACCCCCUGCAGCUGCUGCCGCACUCGCAGCUGCCUCCGCAGCACGACAUGGUGAUGAUCUCACUCAACGAAAUACCUCGAGUUCAUCUGCUCUCAGAUCCGCGCUUGUUCUGCUUUGGAAGGGAAGCUUGGUGUGCCCGUGAUUUAUAG
Molecule: ribosomal RNA, 372 nt
Filed under: Triticum aestivum (bread wheat)
Lineage: Eukaryota; Viridiplantae; Streptophyta; Magnoliopsida; Poales; Poaceae
Description: partial small subunit ribosomal RNA
Source: RNAcentral